GAUGAAGAACGUAGCGAAAUGCGAUAAGUAAUGUGAAUUGCAGAAUCCAGUGAAUCAUCGAAUCUUUGAACGCACAUUGCGCCCCUUGGUAUCCCGAGGGGCAUGCCUGUUCGAGCGUCAUUUCACCACUCAAGCCUGGCUUGGUGUUGGGCGACGUCCUCUUUGGGGACGCGCCUCGAAACGCUCGGCGGCGUGGCACCGGCUUUAAGCGUAGCAGAAUCUUUCGCUUUGGAAGUCGGGGCCCCGUCUGCCGGAAGACCUGCUCGCAAGGUUGACCUCGGAUCAGGCAGGGAUACCCGCUGAACUUAAGCAUAUCAAUAAGCGGAGGA
Molecule: unclassified non-coding RNA, 329 nt
Filed under: soil metagenome
Description: partial contains 5.8S ribosomal RNA, internal transcribed spacer 2, and large subunit ribosomal RNA
Rfam family: 5.8S ribosomal RNA (bases 1-120)
Source: RNAcentral